GGCCUGCAACUGCAAGGGAUUUGAUCUACUCAGGUCUCACGGUCUACUGCUAUUCCCGUGACGACUGACGAGAAGCUGUUGGUGUACCGCCAGGGAGCGCCAAAAUAUUUUAUGCGACGCUGCCGUACAGAGCUGCUCGUGCGACGCCUAUCACCUGGGUGUAUGGCAAGCUGGUCCCACCAAACUGAUAAACCAAACACGACGUCAAAGAUCUAGGAGAUAAUUCAUCUUUGUGAUGACCAACCUCAAUACUCAUGUUAUUUUUUG
This is a long non-coding RNA of Sorghum bicolor (sorghum), 267 nucleotides long. RefSeq lists it as uncharacterized. NCBI's taxonomy places the organism in Eukaryota, Viridiplantae, Streptophyta, Magnoliopsida, Poales, Poaceae. The record is from RefSeq and is a predicted model, not a curated record. The transcript has 2 exons.